AUUAAUGCUGGCAAUAAAAGCCUUCGAACCAGGUCAGGACUGAAAAGUAGCAGCCUUAAGAAGUAACUUUUAUGUGCUAGCACUUUUUGUA
Molecule: signal recognition particle RNA, 91 nt
Filed under: Bacilli bacterium
Lineage: Bacteria; Bacillati; Bacillota; Bacilli
Description: signal recognition particle sRNA small type
Rfam family: Bacterial small signal recognition particle RNA
About the family: The signal recognition particle (SRP) is a universally conserved ribonucleoprotein involved in the co-translational targeting of proteins to membranes. Archaeal SRP consists of a 7S RNA and homologues of the eukaryotic SRP19 and SRP54 proteins. In most bacteria, the SRP consists of a 4.5S RNA and the Ffh protein (a homologue of the eukaryotic SRP54 protein).
Source: RNAcentral